Long non-coding RNA from Girardinichthys multiradiatus, 424 nucleotides. RefSeq lists it as uncharacterized. The transcript has 3 exons. The record is from RefSeq and is a predicted model, not a curated record. NCBI's taxonomy places the organism in Eukaryota, Metazoa, Chordata, Actinopteri, Cyprinodontiformes, Goodeidae.
UGGUCAUGGUGCCAACCACAUGGAGACACGACUCGCCCAGGGAGCAAAGGAGACCACCAAAACACACACAGAUGCAGACGUAGAUGACAGACACGACCCCUAUCUGGAAGCCCCUUAACCACAAGCCCCUGCUGGUCCAUCACGACUGACUGUUCAUCUAUCCUGCAGCUCGAAUGGAUCUCUACAUCUCUUUGAUCUGGGACGCUUCAUAAAUAAUAACCCCCACAGCAACACAGACCUACAUGUCAACACUGGGUUGCUGCUUUGAUGGAUGCUGGACCUGAUUAUUGGAAAAUAAAUCAGCAUCUCCAUAAAGCUUGUCAGCAGAAGGAAGCAUGAAGUGCUCUAACAUUUCGUGGAUGAUGACUGCGUUGAAGGAGGACUUUGGAAAACCCUGUGGGUCAACACCAUCAGAUGACAUGGC